Molecule: long non-coding RNA, 1285 nt
Filed under: Anser cygnoides (Swan goose)
Lineage: Eukaryota; Metazoa; Chordata; Aves; Anseriformes; Anatidae
Description: lncRNA (ENSACDG00005013850.1)
Source: RNAcentral
AUGUACAAGCAGAAGAAUGCUGACAUGCUGACAAAGAACACUGAUUUUUCUGUCUUUUUCCUCAUGUCUAGGAAGAAAAGAGCUUUGGUGUUUUCUUUCCACUUUCCCACAGUGGAGCCUUGGGAAGACUGUCAUUCUGGGUUUGGAGAGCAGUGCAAUGCACAGCAUUAUCCCCUGCACAAAACAUGCCCAAGGGGCAUUUUGCUUCCUUGCAGCCAGGUGGGAAUAGCAGGAGCUCCACGUUUCCACUGGCUCAGACUGAGAAGCAGAGAACUGAAAGGCAGAGAACAAGCCUCUGGCCUCCCUGCAUAUGACCUAGAAAGGAGCAAUGCCCCUGAGCAAGCCCAUUUGUUUGAGCAAUCUAAUGGUUUGUUAGGACACCUGGCUUCUCCCAGGGAAACUGGGAGGGUCCGGCAUGAAUAAACAAGCUGGAUGAUCUGCAGCCUCACUGAGAGCAGGCUCCCAGCUCUUCACUCUCCAGUUCACUGGACAGAGAGGGCUGCUGCACAGAGCUCACGUUUAGCUACUGCUCGUGGGCUGCUUGCCCGCACUGGUGCCUAAGAGGCUCUCGGUGCAGCAGUGCCUUCAUGGCUUCACAUGCUGGGCUGGUGACUGGAGGUUAUGCUCACAUGGAUGUAACAGAAGAUCCAUGAUUUUUCAGUCCCCACAGUUCCCACCGUAUCCCCUGGGCACAAAGUCAGCUAUCUCCACCCCUUUGACUCCAGAAAACUUGAUCAGCAGAAGGAGGAUUUUCUAGGAAUGUCCCCAGGCAUGUAGGGUGGAUGCAAGUCUCCAAGACCAGCUGCAGCUGAUGGCAGAGGCAGGGAAAUGGACUUCCACAAGCGCAGGGCUAAGGCCAUGGGCCGAGCACCCUGACAAGCAAGAAAAUGAGGUCUGGAGAUCUGUGGUUGCUGGAGGUGGAGCUUUGACAGGAAUCCCAGCUUGUAUUGCUGCUCCUGAAGGGCUGGCUGCAGGGAAGGAGAAAUGCAGGCAGAGGAGACAGUUCCUCUAGCAUGCCUGGUCUUCGGGAGUGGGCUGGGGCGGCUGAUUGCUCACCUGCUGGCCAUCAAGGACUCUCUGGGGUGGAAAGUGAUGCAGCUGGAGGUUGUGCAUCUGUGUAAAUUUUACGAAUUCAUCUCAUGACUCCUACAUGUUAUCCUUAUCCAGUGUGGGAAUGCGAGUUACAUUUUGAGUAAUCAUCCAGGGCCUGACACCAGUGUUGUUAUGAAAAAUCAGCGUAUGGUUCAAAAACUGACCUCUGUAAUAAAUGGUUUCCUACUUUUCA